Molecule: non-coding RNA, 787 nt
Filed under: Perkinsus marinus ATCC 50983
Lineage: Eukaryota; Perkinsozoa; Perkinsida; Perkinsidae
Description: Eukaryotic small subunit ribosomal RNA
Rfam family: Eukaryotic small subunit ribosomal RNA
Source: Rfam by way of RNAcentral
CACCUGGUUGAUCCUGCCAGUAGUCAUAUGCUUGUCUCAAAGAUUAAGCCAUGCAUGUCUAAGUAUAAGCUUUAAACGGCGAAACUGCGAAUGGCUCAUUAAAACAGUUAUAGUUUAUUUGGUGAUCGAUUACUAUUUGGAUAACCGUAGUAAUUCUAGAGCUAAUACAUGCGUCAAGGCCCGACUUCGGAAGGGCUGCGUUUAUUAGAUACAGAACCAACCUAGGCUCCGCCUAGUCCUUGUUGGUGAUUCAUAAUAACCCGGCGAAUCGCACGGCUUGUCCGGCGAUGGACCAUUCAAGUUUCUGACCUAUCAGCUAUGGACGGUAGGGUAUUGGCCUACCGUGGCGUUGACGGGUAACGGGGAAUUAGGGUUCGAUUCCGGAGAGGGAGCCUGAGAAACGGCUACCACAUCUAAGGAAGGCAGCAGGCGCGCAAAUUACCCAAUCCUGAUACAGGGAGGUAGUGACAAGAAAUAACAAUACAGGGCAAUUCUGUCUUGUAAUUGGAAUGAGUAGAUUUUAAAUCUCUUUACGAGUAUCAAUUGGAGGGCAAGUCUGGUGCCAGCAGCCGCGGUAAUUCCAGCUCCAAUAGCGUAUAUUAAAGUUGUUGCGGUUAAAAAGCUCGUAGUUGGAUUUCUGCCUUGGGCGACCGAUCCACCUUUCCUACGGGAUUGGUUGGUAUCAGGUUUGACCUUGGCUUUUUCUUGGGAUUCGUGCUCACGUACUUAACUGUGCGUUGACCGUGUUCCAAGACUUUUACUUUGAGGAAAUUAGAGUGUUCAAGCA